RNAcentral lists this long non-coding RNA (625 nucleotides) under Nicotiana benthamiana. Its description in RNAcentral is "long non-coding RNA (NBEN_LNC006355)". Lineage: Eukaryota; Viridiplantae; Streptophyta; Magnoliopsida; Solanales; Solanaceae. The record is from RNAcentral.
GCUAGUUCACAAAGCGUAAUUUGUUAUUUAAGUAAGGCAUAAGUAAUACACUUGAAAUGAAAAACCAAAGGAAGAGAAAAAACAUAAUUCAUAAGCAGAAUACAAAGAAGAAGAAGACGACAAAUAGAUCCGAUGCAUACAGUAAACACUCCAAUUGCACAAACAGAAUUAAAUAUCAUAUAAAAAUAACUAAAUUAAUACAACGAAUAACUUGAUGAUACCAGUAAUAUUCUUCACUGUUCUUUCGCGGUGCUCGAUCUUUUGCCAAAGAUUUAGUGUCCCGCGAUUGGAAAACUUUUCGGCAAACUCAACUCGACUCCAACUCAAUUGCACGCUGCUUUGAGGAAGAACUACCACAGAUGCAAUGGUUUUUGUUGCUCAUUUUUCAGAUGGUUCGGGCAUGGUUGAAGAUGGAGUGCGACGGCUGCGUUUUCUGCCGAGUUUUGUGUAGUUACCUCGACAUGGUUUAGAUCUGAUCUUCUUAUGAGGCAAAAAUGAGUGAAGUAUCUCUUGUUAAUGCUGCUGCACAGCUUCUUCUUAGCUCCCCCUCUAUUAGGCAUUUUUUUGUGUGUUUAUAUAAGUAGAAUUUAGGUUUAGGGUAUAUUUUAUGUAUUUUGCAAAUUAG